GUCCGUAAAGGUGGAUGAGUGGUGUUUGGUUUGUCACGUGUGGUUGGCUGCGGCGUUUGCAACAACUUCCAUGCUUUCAGACCUCUUCAGUUGUGCGGCAAGGCUUGUAUCGCCUUGYUGUAUUGUGGGUUUUCUGUGUUGAAUACCUAAUCAAUGGUAUCGGUUGGAUUGAUCAAUGUUUCAUUUCGUCUGUCGUCGCAUUCGCGGCGUGAGACGAACCUCGAUGCGGUCUCUUUGGCCCACCUCGUCGAAGCACAUGCUUUGACGUUGUGGCACAUUGAGCAUUGCUUGGUCUCUUGUAUACGGAACAUAUAGUGGGCAUGGAUCUAACGAUUCUUGUUUGCCCUCAUGUUAGCGUAACGCUUCUCUUACACGACUUGCUCCACGUUUUAGCUCGUACGGACGUGGU
Molecule: unclassified non-coding RNA, 409 nt
Filed under: Artemisia montana
Lineage: Eukaryota; Viridiplantae; Streptophyta; Magnoliopsida; Asterales; Asteraceae
Description: partial external transcribed spacer
Source: RNAcentral